GCCUUCCUGGUGUAAUGGUCAGCACACUGAGCCGGUAUUUCAGAGGUCCGCGGUUCGAUUCCCGGCGAAGGCG
Non-coding RNA from Stegodyphus mimosarum, 73 nucleotides. Lineage: Eukaryota; Metazoa; Arthropoda; Arachnida; Araneae; Eresidae. The record is from Rfam.